AUAUAAGGAGACUAAGGACCUCAAAUCCCUCCGACGUGGGACAACUCAACAAUAUUUUCCUUUCACAAAAAUAUGACUCCGACAUACGAGAAAAAUUAUAGUAUAUGAAAAACACAUGUAUUACAUUUUUCAGUUUGACGAUUCUUGAGAAAAAGGGAUGGCAAGGCAAUAGCAACAUGGAUAAAACAACAAAAAUUGUAAUAAUACCAACUGUCAAUUGAUGGAGUAGAAAAUGACCUUAAUUGAUGGGGGUAAUUUUAUAUAAAUUGGCACUGUCACAAUUUGCAAUUUUGUGGCGUACAAUAUUUAGAUUAAAAAAUUCCCAAAAACAUUUACAUCAUUAUCUCCCUUUCAAGUGUGACGAGACCGUAACUCAAACACGACGAUCUGUCCGGCCUAGCGAACUUUCAAUGCCAAAGUUAGCUAGUCAGCCUACUCGGAAGCUUAGUAGAACUUAAGAAAGACUAAGCUUGUAGAAACUUGGCGAAGGAAACUAGUAGUUGGAAGAAAGAACUCUUUUAUUAAGAGAACUUUGNNNN
RNAcentral lists this long non-coding RNA (539 nucleotides) under Nicotiana benthamiana. RNAcentral's name for it is "long non-coding RNA (NBEN_LNC015379)". Lineage: Eukaryota; Viridiplantae; Streptophyta; Magnoliopsida; Solanales; Solanaceae. The record is from RNAcentral.